GCCNUGCCGCGUGCAGGAUGACUGCCCUAUGGGUUGUAAACUGCUUUUAUACAGGAAGAAACACUCUCUCGAGUAGAGAGCUUGACGGUACUGUAAGAAUAAGGAUCGGCUAACUCCGUGCCAGCAGCCGCGGUAAUACGGAGGAUCCAAGCGUUAUCCGGAAUCAUUGGGUUUAAAGGGUCCGUAGGUGGAUAAUUAAGUCAGAGGUGAAAUCCUGCAGCUCAACUGUAGAAUUGCCUUUGAUACUGGUUAUCUUGAGUUAUUAUGAAGUAGUUAGAAUAUGUAGUGUAGCGGUGAAAUGCAUAGAUAUUACAUAGAAUACCAAUUGCGAAGGCAGAUUACUAAUAAUCAACUGACACUGAUGGACGAAAGCGUGGGGAGCGAACAGGAUUAGAUACCCNG
RNAcentral lists this ribosomal RNA (402 nucleotides) under Psychroserpens sp. Asnod6B9. Its description in RNAcentral is "bacterial SSU rRNA". It matches the Rfam family "Bacterial small subunit ribosomal RNA", at positions 391 to 789 of the family's 1533-position model. Lineage: Bacteria; Pseudomonadati; Bacteroidota; Flavobacteriia; Flavobacteriales; Flavobacteriaceae. The record is from RNAcentral.